RNAcentral lists this ribosomal RNA (448 nucleotides) under uncultured bacterium. RNAcentral's name for it is "bacterial SSU rRNA". It matches the Rfam family "Bacterial small subunit ribosomal RNA", at positions 355 to 825 of the family's 1533-position model. The record is from RNAcentral.
UGAGGAAUAUUGCGCAAUGGCCGAAAGGCUGACGCAGCGACGCCGCGUGCAGGAUGACGGCCUUCGGGUUGUAAACUGCUUUUGUCGGGGACGAGAGAGGACGGUACCCGGCGAAUAAGUCACGGCUAACUACGUGCCAGCAGCCGCGGUAACACGUAGGUGGCGAGCGUUAUCCGGAUUUACUGGGCGUAAAGCGUGUGCAGACUGACUAGCAAGUGGUGUAUGAAAUCGCGGUGCUUAACACAGCGAGGUUAUGCCAGACUGCUGGACUAGAGUGCGAGAGAGGGAUGUGGAAUUCCGGGUGUAGUGGUGAAAUGCGUAGAGAUCGGGAGGAACACCUGUGGCGAAGGCGGCCACCUGGUUGGAUACUGACGCUGAGACGCGAAAGCGUGGGGAGCAAACAGGAUUAGAUACCCAUGUAGUCCCUGAGCGGGCUGGCAAGGCGCAU